GUUUUAAUAGUUUAAAGCAAAACAAUGAUUUUGUAAAUCAUAAAUAGGGCUAACCUUUAAAACA
This 64-nucleotide transfer RNA is filed under the name Nysius graminicola. RNAcentral's name for it is "tRNA-Thr". It matches the Rfam family "tRNA". Rfam says of the family: Transfer RNA (tRNA) molecules are approximately 80 nucleotides in length. Their secondary structure includes four short double-helical elements and three loops (D, anti-codon, and T loops). Lineage: Eukaryota; Metazoa; Arthropoda; Insecta; Hemiptera; Lygaeidae. The record is from RNAcentral.